Molecule: ribosomal RNA, 495 nt
Filed under: uncultured bacterium
Lineage: Bacteria
Description: partial 16S ribosomal RNA
Rfam family: Bacterial small subunit ribosomal RNA
Source: RNAcentral
GACGAACGCUGGCGGCGUGCCUAAUACAUGCAAGUAGAACGCUGAAGGAGGAGCUUGCUUCUCUGGAUGAGUUGCGAACGGGUGAGUAACGCGUAGGUAACCUGCCUGGUAGCGGGGGAUAACUAUUUGAAACGAUAGUUAAUACCGCAUAAUAUUAGCUGUUGCAUGACAUUUGCUUAAAAGUUGCCAUUGUAUCACUACUAGAUGGUCCUGCGUUGUAUUAUCUAGUUGGUGAGGUAACGGCUCACCAAGGCGACGAUACAUAGCCGACCUGAGAGGGUGAUCGGCCACACUGGGACUGAGACACGGCCCAGACUCCUACGGGAGGCAGCAGUAGGGAAGCUUCGGCAAUGGACGGAAGUCUGACCGAGCAACGCCGCGUGAGUGAAGAAGGUUUUCGGAUCGUAAAGCUCUGUUGUAAGAGAAGAACGAGUGUGAGAGUGGAAAGUUCACACUGUGACGGUAUCUUACCAGAAAGGGACGGCUAACUACGUG